This 519-nucleotide unclassified non-coding RNA is filed under the name Hevea brasiliensis (rubber tree). The record is from RNAcentral. Lineage: Eukaryota; Viridiplantae; Streptophyta; Magnoliopsida; Malpighiales; Euphorbiaceae.
ACAGGGUGUUCCGCAUAAUCCAUUCCCGAUGUAUAGCACAUACUUGCAAGCCAAUAGCAGAAGUGACCAGCAACAUUAUCAUCAACUUUAGAAUUCUUCGCGAAAUUAAUACAUGUCCAGUUAUUAACUGUCCCACCAUUGACCAUUCUCUUAUUCAUCAUAUUCCACUGCCCAACUCUAGGUAAACAGUCCCUCUCCUGGCCACUUUCAUGAUAUUUCAGCCAUGGAGGAGGCAGAAUUCGUGCAUCAACAGAAGCAAGACUACUACUAAUGUUUAUGCCAAAUUCCCGUGCAUAAGGGUCCUCAUGGUAAGCAUUCAGACCAACAGUCUGCACAAUGUCUCGCUCACGAAGAUUUGGCCGUUGACAGGUGACUUUAAGAAGUUCUUUGAUCUGAUAUUUACUUAACCUCUUUGAGUACCUUUGACCUGGAACAAUUUUACAGACCUCCAUUGGAAGAUAAUUUGGUCUCUGUGCAUUACCAACUUGCAGGCAGGGCCAUGCAGUCAUUUGAAUAUUG